GUGCUUGCUUUGGAAGCACAUGCACUAAAAUGGGAAUGACAAAGAGAAGAUUAGCAUGGACCCUGCAAAUUUGUGAAGUGUUCUAUAUUUUU
This is a small nuclear RNA of Ictidomys tridecemlineatus (thirteen-lined ground squirrel), 92 nucleotides long. Lineage: Eukaryota; Metazoa; Chordata; Mammalia; Rodentia; Sciuridae. The record is from Ensembl.